Non-coding RNA from Ovis aries (sheep), 117 nucleotides. NCBI's taxonomy places the organism in Eukaryota, Metazoa, Chordata, Mammalia, Artiodactyla, Bovidae. The record is from Rfam.
GUCUAGGGCCUUACCAUCCUGAAUACACCCAAUCUCACCUCCUCUUGGAAGUUAAGCUGGUUUGGGCCUGGUUAGUACUUGGGUGGCAGAGAGAAUUGCAGUUAGAUAACCAGGACU